GCUGUUUCAUCCCUGUCUUUUAUUUAUUUUUUCCACACACACGUUCGUCAGCUGCUCUUGUCUUGCCCUGCCCAGAGCAUGUGAAGUCAUAAGCUGGCAACAACUCAUCUUGUUAUUUUGGGAGAUCAGUCAUAGGUUACCAGCAUUUGCCAACUACUUGGCAAAUAUGGGCUGUUUGGCCUAACACACAGACUGGAUUAGUAUUGGAAAUGACAUUAACUGUGCAAAGAUCCAGAGCAAUAAUCCUGCAGUGCGUGGCUUGAGAGUUUCAGAGUGAGAUUUCCCUGUGAAGAAUGACUGAGUAAGUGAAAACCAGAUGGGAAAGCUCAUUAUUCUUCAAGAAGAUGGGAUCCCACACAGUUUACACUAUGCAAAGAUGGGGAGCUUGAUGGAGCAGCCAGCUGUGAAUAUAGAGCUGGAAUAUGUCAUUCAGAAAAGUAGGGACUGGAUCCAAGUAGAAGAGCUGACAAUGGCAUCAUCCUUCUCAUCUCCUUCCAGGUUCCAGUACUUCUCGCAGUGAAGAUGACUCAUGACCUCUACUUUCAAUAAAACCCAAAAGGGAAUUAUUUCACUCAGGAUGAAAAAAAAAAGAAAAAGAAAGAAAGAAAGAAAGAAAGAAAGAAAGAAAGAAAGAAAGAAAGAAAGAAAGAAAGAAAGAAAGAGCUGUGCAAAUCCAUAUUCUGUAACCUUCAGUGGAUUUCACACACACAAAAAAUUGAGACACUUACAACUAUAAUCUAUCAGGAGGUGUCUGUUUGUUUGCGCAGUCUCCAAUGCCACCAGGCUCCCACGUACCAGUGAUGACCUACAAGCGUUAACACAGAUGAAGAUGCCCUCAUCAGAGUGGAGCUCAGCUUCUUUGCACGUACCUACUUGCAGCUCAGGCGCCCAGCUGGGGACCACAGGUUUAUUCAGGUUCCCUCAUAAUCAGAGAUGAUGAUGCCUCUUUGUGUUCUUUCAUUAUGUUUAAUCUCAGAUGAACAGAAUCACCCUGCAGAGGGCAUGGCUCGCUCUUAUAACAGUGCAAGUCUGAGAAUGCCUGGCUUCCUGGCUUAGGCACCUCAGUCAGCUGCCUAGCAGUAAGGGAACAAGCUCCCACAGAAUAAUCCCCUGAGUCAGGCCUUCUGCUGCACUGGCAUCUUUUUCUCCUCAUAGUGGUAGUUCAUUUCUGGAAACAGGAAGAAAAUUCAGUCAUGUAUUGGAUCAUAUUUCAGAGUAUUUUUGCACAAUAUUCACUAUUUGUACAGGCUUUUGACGUGAACGCUGACUGCAUGAAGCAUUUAUCACAGUGGCUACAGAACUACCCUAAGAAUAGACUGCUGGGUGAGUCCAGCAGCAGGAGAAGAUUGAGCAAUAUUCAUUUGUCAUGCACCAGCCCUGGGACAGAGUCUGUGGCCAGGCACCUAAUACAGCACAUUUUCCUAAGCUGCAAUAUUGUGUUUGUGUGACAAAACAAGUUUAAAAUUGCUGUGAAAACUAGCCAGAAAUUUGUGAUGGUAAUCCAAAUGCAGCAUUGCAUGCUGCUGUUGCAAAACCAAACCUAAAUUAGCUUGAAGACAGGGCAAAGAUAUUCUGUAUGAGUUAUAUCCCAUGCACGGCAGUUUAAUAAUCCUCUUUGCCUGUGUUUAGAUUAAAAUUAGUACUGUGAAGACUUCCAGCCCAGCAAGAAACUCAAUACACCGCACUGAACUCGCGAACUCUAGGCAUGUUGUACCAGCACCCGUGAUCUCUGUGUCCUGUGGUUGUACAGGCCUUAAAGCAUUAGACUUCAGAAGAAAAAAUUCACCAUUAUAGACAAUCACAUAUAAUUAAACUUCACAGAACAAAAGUUUAAACAGUAAAGGGAACAAAUGAUCCACCCAAGUACAACAUUUAUUUCUGGAACGGCUGUUACCCUUACAAACACAUUUAGCCAUAAUGGGAAAAUUAUCUUGCAAAUGUCUAAUAAGAUUGUGUGUAUUUAAAUUUAUGCUGUAUUUAAUUUAGUUCUGCUCAUAACUGUUGUUGUGAGUCACUCAAAAGGUCCUUACACGUGGGAAAUCUUUUGUAUAAUUAAAAGAGCUAACAAUGCAAAACCCACAAGCCCCAAAUCCCUUGCAGCUUAAAGCCAAGUCCAUUUCUUAUGGUAAAUAUUUCUAUGCUAGUAAACCAUGACAUCACCCUCAGAGAGCUGCAAAUUAGAAAAUUUAUACCAAAUGCUUCCUCCAUAGAAAUUCAAACAGUGAGCCAAUCAGCUACACCGCAGCUGGCAUAAUUAGCAGUAGCUAAUGCCAUCACCAGCAGGUAUAGUUUUAUAGUAAACUUUCCCUUUUGGUCCUGAAAGGUACUAGAUUAAUUUGUACUGAUAAAUAUUUCUCAGAAAAUCAAGUGCUAAUUGGACAGUGGUGUCACUGAUAAAGAGCUUAAAGGAGCUGGUGUAUUGCUCUGUUGGUCCAUUUACCCAUCCUCAUAGCCUGAAAGGUAUUGCUGUAAUAGACAAGGGAAUUCUGGUUGUGCAGGACAGAAUGCUGACUCCAAGGCAACAAAACAGAUUUGUUUCAGCAUUUUCUAUUAAAAAGUGCUAUUUAUGUUUUCCUUUUCCUUUAUUUUUUAUUUUUCCAAGUAAAUUCACAAAGACUCAAACCUAAGACCUGCCUCAUUUUGGUAGGGACUUUCACAGAAUGCAGUACCAGAAUGCUUCAGGAAAAAAAAACAAAAUUGAAUAAUACUGAAUAAUACAGCCAUAAUAAAGCUGUCCUCUUCAAGUCUA
Non-coding RNA from Anas platyrhynchos (mallard), 2749 nucleotides. The record is from RefSeq and is a predicted model, not a curated record. Lineage: Eukaryota; Metazoa; Chordata; Aves; Anseriformes; Anatidae.